UACGGAGGGUGUAAGCGUUAUCCGGAAUCAUUGGGUUUAAAGGGUCCGUAGGCGGACUGAUAAGUCAGAGGUGAAAUCCCACAGCUUAACUGUGGAACUGCCUUUGAUACUGUCAGUCUUGAGUUAUAUUGAAGUAGAUGGAAUGUGUAGUGUAGCGGUGAAAUGCAUAGAUAUUACACAGAACACCGAUUGCGAAGGCAGUCUACUAAGUAUAUACUGACGCUGAGGGACGAAAGCGUGGGGAUCAAACAGG
RNAcentral lists this ribosomal RNA (253 nucleotides) under uncultured bacterium. Its description in RNAcentral is "partial 16S ribosomal RNA". It matches the Rfam family "Bacterial small subunit ribosomal RNA", at positions 524 to 776 of the family's 1533-position model. The record is from RNAcentral.